AUUGAACGCUGGCGGCAUGCCUUACACAUGCAAGUCGAACGGCAGCACGGGAGCAAUCCUGGUGGCGAGUGGCGAACGGGUGAGUAAUAUAUCGGAACGUGCCCGAUCGUGGGGGAUAACGUAGCGAAAGCUACGCUAAUACCGCAUACGAUCUACGGAUGAAAGCGGGGGAUCGCAAGACCUCGCGCGAUUGGAGCGGCCGAUAUCAGAUUAGGUAGUUGGUGAGGUAAAGGGCUCACCAAGCCGACGAUCUGUAGCUGGUCUGAGAGGACGACCAGCCACACUGGGACUGAGACACGGCCCAGACUCCUACGGGAGGCAGCAGUGGGGAAUUUUGGACAAUGGNGCAAGCCUGAUCAGCAAUGCCGCGUGCAGGAUGAA
Molecule: ribosomal RNA, 381 nt
Filed under: uncultured bacterium
Lineage: Bacteria
Description: bacterial SSU rRNA
Rfam family: Bacterial small subunit ribosomal RNA
Source: RNAcentral